GGUUAAGCGACUAAGCGUACACGGUGGAUGCCCUGGCAGUCAGAGGCGAUGAAGGACGUGCUAAUCUGCGAAAAGCGUCGGUAAGGUGAUAUGAACCGUUAUAACCGGCGAUGUCCGAAUGGGGAAACCCAGUGCAAUUCGUUGCACUAUCGUUAACUGAAUACAUAGGUUAACGAGGCGAACCGGGGGAACUGAAACAUCUAAGUACCCCGAGGAAAAGAAAUCAACCGAGAUUCCCCCAGUAGCGGCGAGCGAACGGGGAGCAGCCCAGAGUCUGAAUCAGCUUGUGUGUUAGUGGAACGGUCUGGAAAGUCCGACGGUACAGGGUGAUAGUCCCGUACACCAAAAUGCACAGGCUGUGAACUCGAAGAGUAGGGCGGGACACGUGGUAUCCUGUCUGAAUAUGGGGGGACCAUCCUCCAAGGCUAAAUACUCCUGACUGACCGAUAGUGAACCAGUACCGUGAGGGAAAGGCGAAAAGAACCCCGGCGAGGGGAGUGAAAAAGAACCUGAAACCGUGUACGUACAAGCAGUGGGAGCACCUUCGGGUGUGACUGCGUACCUUUUGUAUAAUGGGUCAGCGACUUAUAUUCUGUAGCAAGGUUAACCGUAUAGGGGAGCCGCAGGGAAACCGAGUCUUAACUGGGCGUUAAGUUGCAGGGUAUAGACCCGAAACCCGGUGAUCUAGCCAUGGGCAGGUUGAAGGUUGGGUAACACUAACUGGAGGACCGAACCGACUAAUGUUGAAAAAUUAGCGGAUGACUUGUGGCUGGGGGUGAAAGGCCAAUCAAACCGGGAGAUAGCUGGUUCUCCCCGAAAGCUAUUUAGGUAGCGCCUCGUGAACUCAUCUUCGGGGGUAGAGCACUGUUUCGGCUAGGGGGUCAUCCCGACUUACCAACCCGAUGCAAACUACGAAUACCGAAGAAUGUUAUCACGGGAGACACACGGCGGGUGCUAACGUCCGUCGUGAAGAGGGAAACAACCCAGACCGCCAGCUAAGGUCCCAAAGUCAUGGUUAAGUGGGAAACGAUGUGGGAAGGCACAGACAGCCAGGAUGUUGGCUUAGAAGCAGCCAUCAUUUAAAGAAAGCGUAAUAGCUCACUGGUCGAGUCGGCCUGCGCGGAAGAUGUAACGGGGCUAAACCAUGCACCGAAGCUGCGGCAGCGACACUAUGUGUUGUUGGGUAGGGGAGCGUUCUGUAAGCCUGCGAAGGUGUGCUGUGAGGCAUGCUGGAGGUAUCAGAAGUGCGAAUGCUGACAUAAGUAACGAUAAAGCGGGUGAAAAGCCCGCUCGCCGGAAGACCAAGGGUUCCUGUCCAACGUUAAUCGGGGCAGGGUGAGUCGACCCCUAAGGCGAGGCCGAAAGGCGUAGUCGAUGGGAAACAGGUUAAUAUUCCUGUACUUGGUGUUACUGCGAAGGGGGGACGGAGAAGGCUAUGUUAGCCGGGCGACGGUUGUCCCGGUUUAAGCAUGUAGGCUGAUUAUCCAGGCAAAUCCGGAUAAUCAAGGCUGAGGUGUGAUGACGAGGCACUACGGUGCUGAAGUAACAAAUGCCCUGCUUCCAGGAAAAGCCUCUAAGCAUCAGGUAACAUCAAAUCGUACCCCAAACCGACACAGGUGGUCAGGUAGAGAAUACCAAGGCGCUUGAGAGAACUCGGGUGAAGGAACUAGGCAAAAUGGUGCCGUAACUUCGGGAGAAGGCACGCUGGUGUGUAGGUGAAGUCCCUGCGGAUGGAGCUGAGACCAGUCGAAGAUACCAGCUGGCUGCAACUGUUUAUUAAAAACACAGCACUGUGCAAACACGAAAGUGGACGUAUACGGUGUGACGCCUGCCCGGUGCCGGAAGGUUAAUUGAUGGGGUUAUCCGUAAGGAGAAGCUCUUGAUCGAAGCCCCGGUAAACGGCGGCCGUAACUAUAACGGUCCUAAGGUAGCGAAAUUCCUUGUCGGGUAAGUUCCGACCUGCACGAAUGGCGUAAUGAUGGCCAGGCUGUCUCCACCCGAGACUCAGUGAAAUUGAACUCGCUGUGAAGAUGCAGUGUACCCGCGGCAAGACGGAAAGACCCCGUGAACCUUUACUAUAGCUUGACACUGAACAUUGAGCCUUGAUGUGUAGGAUAGGUGGGAGGCUUUGAAGCGUGGACGCCAGUCUGCGUGGAGCCAACCUUGAAAUACCACCCUUUAAUGUUUGAUGUUCUAACGUUGGCCCCUGACCGGGGUUGCGGACAGUGUCUGGUGGGUAGUUUGACUGGGGCGGUCUCCUCCCAAAGCGUAACGGAGGAGCACGAAGGUUAGCUAAUCCUGGUCGGACAUCAGGAGGUUAGUGCAAUGGCAUAAGCUAGCUUGACUGCGAGCGUGACGGCGCGAGCAGGUGCGAAAGCAGGUCAUAGUGAUCCGGUGGUUCUGAAUGGAAGGGCCAUCGCUCAACGGAUAAAAGGUACUCCGGGGAUAACAGGCUGAUACCGCCCAAGAGUUCAUAUCGACGGCGGUGUUUGGCACCUCGAUGUCGGCUCAUCACAUCCUGGGGCUGAAGUAGGUCCCAAGGGUAUGGCUGUUCGCCAUUUAAAGUGGUACGCGAGCUGGGUUUAGAACGUCGUGAGACAGUUCGGUCCCUAUCUGCCGUGGGCGCUGGAGAAUUGAGGGGGGCUGCUCCUAGUACGAGAGGACCGGAGUGGACGCAUCACUGGUGUUCGGGUUGUCAUGCCAAUGGCACUGCCCGGUAGCUAAAUGCGGAAGAGAUAAGUGCUGAAAGCAUCUAAGCACGAAACUUGCCCCGAGAUGAGUUCUCCCUGAGACUUUAAGUCUCCUGAAGGAACGUUGAAGACGACGACGUUGAUAGGCCGGGUGUGUAAGCGCAGCGAUGCGUUGAGCUAACCGGUACUAAUGAACCGUGAGGCUUAACCUU
RNAcentral lists this ribosomal RNA (2902 nucleotides) under Klebsiella pneumoniae. RNAcentral's name for it is "23S ribosomal RNA". It matches the Rfam family "Bacterial large subunit ribosomal RNA". RNAcentral also lists the same sequence under 1 other name. Lineage: Bacteria; Pseudomonadati; Pseudomonadota; Gammaproteobacteria; Enterobacterales; Enterobacteriaceae. The record is from RNAcentral.